AACGAACGCUGGCGGCAUGCCUAACACAUGCAAGUCGAACGAGACCUUCGGGCCUAGUGGCGCACGGGUGCGUAACGCGUGGGAACCUGCCCUUAGGUUCGGAAUAACUCCCCGAAAGGGGUGCUAAUACCGGAUAAUGUCCUCGGACCAAAGAUUUAUCGCCUUUGGAUGGGCCCGCGUUGGAUUAGCUAGUUGGUAGGGUAAAUGCCUACCAAGGCGACGAUCCAUAGCUGGUCUGAGAGGAUGAUCAGCCACACUGGGACUGAGACACGGCCCAGACUCCUACGGGAGGCAGCAGUGGGGAAUAUUGGACAAUGGGCGAAAGCCUGAUCCAGCAAUGCCGCGUGAGUGAUGAAGGCCUUAGGGUUGUAAAGCUCUUUUAACCGGGAUGAUAAUGACAGUACCGGGAGAAUAAGCUCCGGCUAACUCCGUG
This 433-nucleotide ribosomal RNA is filed under the name uncultured bacterium. RNAcentral describes it as "partial 16S ribosomal RNA". It matches the Rfam family "Bacterial small subunit ribosomal RNA", at positions 29 to 507 of the family's 1533-position model. The record is from RNAcentral.